AUAACCAAUCCAAGAACCCAAGGCAUCAACAUGAACCCAAUAAAGAACGUGACCGAACCACACAGCAUCAAAGCCAUCGAAAUCCCCAGCAUCAACGAUGCGAAGCCCGCCGGCGAGAUCUGGGGAGGCGCCGAUGACCUCCUCCUCGAAGAAUCAGAUGGAAUCGCCGUGGAUUGGUCAGAGAACGGGAUCGGCGAAGGUGGUGAACGAAUCAGAUUGAGAACCAGAGCCGACAGCUCGUAGAAAAUCCUUGAUUGCUGAUCUUGUUGCUGAUUUUGCUGCUGACUGCUCAUCAUUCUAAUUUCCUUUCUCGAAAACCCAAAAAAAAAGGGAGAAAAAAAAAAAAAACAACCCCAAUAUAACCAAAUAAAACUUUUUUAAAAAUCUUUUAGCCUAAUCCGCUAAGAAAAUUUUCAAAUUCAUAUUGCUAAAAUCGAGGUAAGUGGAUAAACACACAAAGUUCUAUCUACAACGCCGGUUGACUGGAGAAGAACUUAUCAAUUUAACCUUCUGCACUAGCAAAGAGUUUCUGACAAGCGAAAUUUUGUUUGUUUCUCCGGUAAUUCUUUGACAACAAUAGAGAGACAAGGUGACGCGACGUUUGUAUCUAUCGUAUUUAAAAGUAUACUAAAUUUUUUCUGGCAAAUUUUCUCGAUAGCGUUUGGAUCG
Molecule: unclassified non-coding RNA, 669 nt
Filed under: Hevea brasiliensis (rubber tree)
Lineage: Eukaryota; Viridiplantae; Streptophyta; Magnoliopsida; Malpighiales; Euphorbiaceae
Source: RNAcentral